GGGUCGGUGGCGGAACUAGGUAUACGCGUAUGGUUUAGGACCAUAUCCCGAAAGGGUUGGAGGUUCGAUUCCUCUCCGACCCA
RNAcentral lists this transfer RNA (83 nucleotides) under Candidatus Levyibacteriota bacterium. RNAcentral's name for it is "Candidatus Levybacteria bacterium tRNA-Leu". It matches the Rfam family "tRNA". Rfam says of the family: Transfer RNA (tRNA) molecules are approximately 80 nucleotides in length. Lineage: Bacteria; Candidatus Levyibacteriota. The record is from RNAcentral.